RNAcentral lists this long non-coding RNA (718 nucleotides) under Anas platyrhynchos platyrhynchos (common mallard). Its description in RNAcentral is "lncRNA (ENSAPLG00000026571.1)". Lineage: Eukaryota; Metazoa; Chordata; Aves; Anseriformes; Anatidae. The record is from RNAcentral.
CGUCAUCUUUGCCUGGGGAAUAUUUUGAAGUCUCAGCACUUCAGGAUCAUUUCGAUGCUGACUGCCAGCAUAGCUAUUUAGAAAACGAGGCUGUGGAGGAGAAUGUGGGCAUUUCAGCCCGCCAGCCGGGAAUCUUCUUGUUCCACUGUGGUUUAAAGAAGAGUACUCUGCUGGAAACAUGAAGUGCCUGUUUACAGCUGGGAAUACCUCAGGAAAAGGGCAAACUAGUCCUGGCCCAGUGAAGUACUGAUUGUGUGCGCCAGCAAGGUAAACGUGGCUUGGUUUGUCAGCAGCAGUGUGCAGCCACGUUGUGAAUUCGUUUGAGCCAACUGAAGAGGUUCCUCUAAUCACCACCCAAAUUGUGAAUUAAUACGGUAAUACUUCUUGUGGCAGGAAUCUCUUCUCCUCAGAUUUAAGUAUGUAUUUCUAAAGAUAGUCUAAAAUGCCUUUUUUUUUUUUUUUUCUGUUUUCUCAGGAUUUUGUAGAAGCUUGUCCUGCUGAAGAUGAGCAGUUAGGUACUGAACAGCACCACGAGGAAAGCAGUCCAUCCCAUGGCCUGGUUGUAUUCCAUUUCUACUCCUUUGUUGAUUUACUUUACCAGAGACUUUAUUUGAAAACCAUAGGAAGUGGAUGCAUCAGAAGAUGUUUUGAGAUAAAGGUGACAUUGUUGAUUUUAAGUAUUUCACUAAGCAAGAGCUUCCUUGACCACACAAAAUGA